UAUUGCCCAACUUGUGGUCUAUCUUGGUCUAUGCUUCAUGCACACUUGAAAAUCUGGACACUUGACAUUGUUGCUUCUUUAAAGAGCAUUUCUCUGCCUAUAAAAUGCUUGAUCACAGAUCAUGUCCAAGAACAGCAAAUUUGCUCAGGAAAUAAAAGGGCCAGCAGUUAUCAGCUCAUAUAGUGUUUCCUCAGAUUAUACUGCGCUGAUCCAAACUCUAACAUUCAAGCUCAAACUCUAUAUAUCAUUUUCUUCAAGAAAGCCUUUCCUGACUGUGGUAGGCAGGGUAAUGACCUCCGAAGAUGUUCAUGUCAAAAUCUGCAGAACCUGUGAAAAUGUUACUUAACAAGGCAGAAGGCACUUUGAAGAUGUGAUCUAGUUAAGGAUCUAGAGAUUAGGAGAACAUCCUGGAUUCUCUGGCUGGGCCUCAUGUACUCACAUGAGUCCUUUAAAUGUGGAAGAGUGAGGCAGAAGAAGGAGUGUCAGAAUGAUGUAACAUGGGAAAGACUUGACCAGCUAGUGCCGUGUUUGAAGGUGGAAGGGGACCAUGAA
Globicephala melas (long-finned pilot whale) is the source of this 552-nucleotide long non-coding RNA. RefSeq lists it as uncharacterized. The record is from RefSeq and is a predicted model, not a curated record. NCBI's taxonomy places the organism in Eukaryota, Metazoa, Chordata, Mammalia, Artiodactyla, Delphinidae.